UGCCGUUGUUGUUACGACGAAUGCAAUUGACAACCAACUAUUGGAUCAAUCUAAGGGGACAUGGAGAUAACCAUCCAAUGAAAAAGGUAUUACAGAAAUAUUGGGAGAAGGAGAGGAGAAAAAGUUUUGGAUAGACAGGCGAUUUAAUAGCAAAGGAAAUGGAAGUGUAUGAUAAAGAAUUUGUUGAGACCGUGGUGUAGCCUGAUAAACCAGUUUGGUUACUGGAAAACCUGAAGGUUGAUCUAGAGCUUUUAAAAAUUAAAGGAAGUAGAAGUAUACAAAGACAGCAUUCAAAUAUUUACAGAUAGGUCAAAGGAUCUUCGGUAUUCGUCCCUAGAUAUGAAAUGGGAGUCAACAAAAGAACAUCUGACAGCUUAAAUGUAUAUACAGUUGAAUUAUAUGCUAUAUUAAUAGCAUUAGAAUGGAUUGAACAGACCAGGGAUAACAAUAUUUUAAUUUGUAGCGACUCUGAGCCCUCAUGAGUAUUAAGUAUGGAAUAACUCAAAAUCAUCAAGAAUUAUUGUAUGAAAUUUUGUUUACAAACUCAAGAAUAUGCAGACUAGGGAGAAGUAUUACAUUCAUGUGGGUCCCAGUGCAUGUGGGAAUACAGGGAAAUGAGAAAGCUGAUAGACUGGCAAAAGAGGCAACAAAAAAGGGACAUGUUGACGUCAAAAUUAAGUUGUCAAAGUCAGAAAGGAAGAAUCUAGUAUGGAAAAAGUAAAUGGAACAAUGGCAACAUCAGUGGGAUCAUGAAAAGAAAGGGAGACAUCUGUACAGGGUUCAAAAUAAAGAGGACUGGACUGGAAGGACUAAUCUAAUUAACAUGGACUAAGUUAAAGAAAGACAGUAGGUGGCAGUAUUGCAACAAUUUGGAUGCCAACUGCCGUAAAACACCAAGGAAGAAGAAGAAGAAGGAGGACACUCGAGGCUGCCUGAGUUUUUCACAAAUAAAAUUUGGAUGACCCAGAGGAUGGAGUGGUGGUACCAGAGAUCCAUUGCCCCUUAUCAGACUAGAAUCUUGCUUUUCUGCAUGGAUUAAUGAAUCACCUUUGAAAGGCCUGGAGCUCCAGACAAUAUUAUACUGUGCUAUUCUGCAGAAUAUGUUCUACUAAAUUUGUUUUGUGUUCUAGAUUCAAACAAACACAAUUCACAAGCAGUUACACUUUAUUAGUCUAUAUCUGACUCCUUAUAUAUGCAAGUCUCUGACUUGCAUCCCGACAAAUAAAUGUUAAUGCCUGAUAUUGCACUCAGUACCACAUACUAUAGAAUGCAUACUUGGAAAGGAAACUGCUUAUGUUACAGAUACAUCACUAGGAAGGACCCUUGCAUCAGGCACAUUCCAUUUCAAAUUCAGGCUACAGUUUGGCAUUUCUUAUAUUAACAUCCUUUAUGCUUAUAAAAAUACUUGAGACCACUUGAAGAUAUAGAAAAAUCAUUGUAGUCUAUUUGUUGGCUUAAAAUACAAGUAAAUAUCUGUUCAUCUGUCAGUUGCUUUAAGAGAAAGAAUAUGGAACUUAUUCUCUAGACAAGACGUGAGUUUUCUGGAUGAUAAAUUAUGAUUGUCAAUUGAUGACUGAAAAUGAACAUGAAUGAUAUUUCUCUAGCUUGAUUUUGCACUUUUUUUUAGCCAUUUGAUUUCAGUUGUAAAACAGUGGUCUGUUACUGAUGCUGGAGGUUAAGACAUUUCAAAUGAUACAUGGUUUGUCCCGAUUAAUCAAAUUGUACUUGACAGUGAAAUGUACAGUAUAGGAACACUGAAUAAAUGAAAAGAAACAAGCCUGUGUUGGUGUCCUCAUGAAUGUAAAUGUUAAAUGGUGUAAUGCAUUAAAAAGCAAUGUGUAUAUUAUGUACUGUAUAUUGUGUUUUGUUGUCUGUAUAUUGUGUACAAUGUGUAUUAUGUAAUACGGUAUGUGUGCAUAUUGUUCAGUGAGUGUUGUGUUUUCUGUAUAUCUUGUAUAUUAUGUUGUAACUAUGAGAUGCAAUGUUGGUGGAACUGAACCAA
This is a long non-coding RNA of Myxocyprinus asiaticus (Chinese sucker), 2002 nucleotides long. RefSeq lists it as uncharacterized. Lineage: Eukaryota; Metazoa; Chordata; Actinopteri; Cypriniformes; Catostomidae. The transcript has 3 exons. The record is from RefSeq and is a predicted model, not a curated record.